RNAcentral lists this ribosomal RNA (32 nucleotides) under Iresine diffusa. Its description in RNAcentral is "26S ribosomal RNA". The record is from RNAcentral. Lineage: Eukaryota; Viridiplantae; Streptophyta; Magnoliopsida; Caryophyllales; Amaranthaceae. RNAcentral also lists the same sequence under 1 other name.
GACCCCAGGUCAGGCGGGGUUACCCGCUGAGU